AGCUCCAAUAGCGUAUACUAAAGUUGUUGCAGUUAAAAAGCUCGUAGUUGGAUUUCUGUGUGAGAGGGACGGGAAGGCGCAAGCGUUUUUUCUGACCUUUUGCACAUCCUGUCGCAAACCACGGUGCUCUUCAUUGUAGUGUCGUUGGGGAUCGACUCGUUUACUUUGAGAAAAAUAGAGUGUUCAAAGCAGGGUAUGCCUCUGAAUAAGUUAGCAUGGAAUAAUGAUAAAGGACUUCGGUUCAUUUUGUUGGUGUUUGGGACUGAAGUAAUGAUUGAUAGGGACAGUUGGGGGCAUCAGUAUUCAAAAGCGAGAGGUGAAAUUCUUAGACCUUUUGAAGACUAACCGCUGCGAAAGCGUUUGCCAAGGAUGUUCCCU
This 378-nucleotide ribosomal RNA is filed under the name uncultured eukaryote. RNAcentral describes it as "SSU rRNA". It matches the Rfam family "Eukaryotic small subunit ribosomal RNA", at positions 587 to 972 of the family's 1831-position model. The record is from RNAcentral.